GACGAACGCUGGCGGCGCGCCUAAUACAUGCAAGUCGAACGGGCAGGCUUCGGUCUGUCAGUGGCGGACGGGUGAGUAACACGUGGGUGAUCUGCCUUUCGGUGGGGAAUAACUCUGGGAAACCAGAGCUAAUACCGCAUAUGCUUACUAUUUCAUUAUGGUAAGUAAAGAUAUAUUGCCGAAAGAGGAGCCUGCGCCGGAUUAGCUAGUCGGUGGGGUAAUGGCCUACCGAGGCAACGAUCCGUAGCUGGUCUGAGAGGACGACCAGCCACACUGGGACUGAGACACGGCCCAGACUCCUACGGGAGGCAGCAGUAAGGAAUAUUCCACAAUGGCCGCAAGGCUGAUGGAGCGACGCCGCGUGAGCGAAGAAG
RNAcentral lists this ribosomal RNA (374 nucleotides) under uncultured bacterium. Its description in RNAcentral is "bacterial SSU rRNA". It matches the Rfam family "Bacterial small subunit ribosomal RNA", at positions 28 to 413 of the family's 1533-position model. The record is from RNAcentral.